GAUUAUAGCCAUAUCACCCUGCAGCCCAAGACUGCUUGCCCACUGAAGCCAAGCAGGGUUGAGCCUGGUCAGUACCUGGAUGGGAGACCUCCUGGGAAAACUAGGUUGCUGUUGGAA
RNAcentral lists this ribosomal RNA (117 nucleotides) under Sinocyclocheilus grahami. The record is from RNAcentral. Lineage: Eukaryota; Metazoa; Chordata; Actinopteri; Cypriniformes; Cyprinidae.